Arachis ipaensis is the source of this 273-nucleotide non-coding RNA. The record is from RefSeq and is a predicted model, not a curated record. NCBI's taxonomy places the organism in Eukaryota, Viridiplantae, Streptophyta, Magnoliopsida, Fabales, Fabaceae.
GCGCCGUUGCAAUCAUAAUUUCGUGCACCAAGCACCGACCCAGCAGCGCUCUUCCCAGCAACGCCAAAGAGAGGCUUUGCCACUCACCCUAGAAGCAUUGCAGAGAAGGUACGAAGAGCACGGAUUAGCGAAAGAAUCAAGAAAUUGCAAGGCCUUCUCCCGAAAUCAGACAAGUUCAUCCUGAAAGUUGAAAUCCUAUGUGGUCUGUAUUAAGGUAAGAUUGAUUUUAGUUAUGAUAUUUUGUUAUGUGAUUUGUUUUUUAAUCUAUUCAUU